GAGAGAGAGAGAGAGAGAGAUUAUCUGCAAACUAGAUAACAUAAAAGAGGAAAGGUGGCCUAGUCAUUGAGACGAUGAAAUCAAUUGAAAAGCUUAUUGAAAAAGAUGAUGAGAGGGUAUCCUAGCCGGUUAAGAGUUCUACCUCUUCAAUUCAGGGGUAUUUUUGACCUUUAGCCUCUGGAUUAUCCUGCUGAGGAAGGUUUGGUGUUGCCUACUCAGUCGUGUAUGUCGCUUUCUUGCCAUCCAAUGGAGUUCCAAAAAGACUUUAAUACCCUCAUUAUUUAAAAUAUUAUCGAAUUCCCUCCUUCCUUCCUUUCUUUCUUGGUUUUUUGUUUUUAAGAAUAUUAAUUAAUUAAAGGAAAAAAUUAAGGGACCUUUGAAAUUCUAAUAAUAUCAGACGCUCUUGAUCAUAUUGGUAUUUAUGGCCAUAAUUUAGUCUAAGCUAUGAUAAGAUCAAGAUGGUUCUACUAAUUCAAAAGGUGUCCAUAGAUGUUUUGGCGAGUGGAUCUUGCAGUUGCUGACCUAGUUGUUCCCUUCAUUAUCGUUGAUGAGAUGAAGCUGUUUUUGAAAUUCCAUGCAAUCUUAUUACUGAAAUUAUCAUUCAAUAAGGAGGCUUUAUUGAUCAAUUAUGUAAUAUAUGGAGAACUGUUUCAUAUUCCCCUCUUUGCAAUAAGCUGACUAAGCAAGUCUGUAUUGGGCGAAAGCGAAAUCUUUGCUCAUACUGUUUUGGUUGGGUUGGCCGUUACAAAUAUUAUCCGGUUCUUGUCCUUAGUUCUGUGAUUUAGCAAAUCUAACAUUUGUUCUGCAACUAGAAUGACUGCUGUGUCAGAAUCAAGACAGGACGUGGAGCAAUGGUUUAGUUUGAAUGAUUGCACAUGCCUUGAUUUGAUAUCAGUUUCUGAUUUCUGGUUUUCUUCAGGCGUUUUUCUCUCUGUUUCUGUCACGAUGUUUCUCAAUGUCACAUUGACAUGUCUGCCUUUGGUGCAGGUGACUAAGUUUUCUAAACAAAGAGAAGCAAAAAUUGUUCUGCUUCUCCAAAUUAAUUAAGGAUUUCCUCCGGUGCUUGACCAUGGGAAACAAUGAAGAGGGAAAGUCCUCUAAGCCUGAUAAAUCAACUUCACCUGCACCAGUGGAUCAGAACAAUAUUCAUGUCUAUCCUGAUUGGGCGGCCAUGCAGGCAUAUUAUGGCCCUCGUGUCGCGCUGCCACCAUAUUAUAACUCAGCCAUGGCAUCUGGUCAUGCACCUCAUCCAUAUAUGUGGGGCCCACCACAGCCUAUGAUGCCACCUUAUGGAGCACCUUACGCAGCAGUGUAUUCACAUGGAGGAGUUUAUGCACAUCCAGCAGUUCCAAUUGGAUCACAUCCUCAUGUUCCUGGUGUCCCAUCGCCUCCUGCUGCUGCAACACCUGUGAGUGUAGAAACACCUACAAAGUCUAUUGGAAAUACAGAUCAAGGUUUAAUGAAGAAGUUGAAAAGAUUUGAUGGGCUUGCAAUGUCAAUAGGCAAUGUGAGUAGUAAUGCGGAGAGUGCUGAGGGUGGGGACCACGAGCUGUCUCAGAGGUUUGGAACUAGCACUUUGGUUUUAGGAGACUUUCACUGUUACCUUAUAGUGGCGUCCACUUUAAGGGGAUUCUUUUAACUAUUUUUUAUGGCAGUCUAACUUUGAAACUACUUGACCAUGUGAACAGUGUGGAGACUGAAGGUUCUAGUGAUGGAAGCGAUGGAAAUACGGCUGGGGGAAGGAAAAGGAGUCGGGAGGGGAAACCAACUAUUGGUAUGAGUCCAUUCUUCACGAAGUAUUUAUCUUGAUUGACAAUAAGAUUGACCUGGAAUUGCAGCUUUCCAUAGCAUAGGGAUUUAAAUGCUGUAUGCAUUACACUUGACCUCCAUGUAGGUUAGUGAAAUGUCAAAAUUGGCCCUACUUUUGCUAAAAGCAAUGAUCAUCAGAUAUGUGAUAACACCACAAGGCUUUUGGUUUGGUAACUUGGAAAUCAGUUGGGUAAUUAUGUAAUUUGGUUUGUCAAUUCUCGUACUUAGAGCUAUGAAGUAAAAUUAAGAACUACCUCUAUUGCUGUGCACACACACACAUAAGAAAAAAAGAAAUUUGAAGUUAAGCUAUUGAAUUUAGAAAUAAUGGGGAGUCUUACAUUAUGUGUGAUCAUGAAACCUUUGUCCAUGGCAACAAAGUUGCAGUGUAUGUGCACAAUGCAUUUGAUCAAAUACGCAUGCAAAAAUAUUGAGAAAGAUAGGGAAUGCUGAGAUGCUCAUGGAAUUCAUAUUCACAUUGGUGGCUGAGGGCUAUGAAAAAAGGCUGGAUAGUUUUAGAUAAACUGGCUUAUCAUGUUACUAGUGUGGUGUUAUCAUUAGAUAUUUUUUCACUUCAUUGUUAUAAAUUUGGGCCCAAGUUUGGCACUUGUAAGUUGUAUCAGAUUAAUUUGAGAAGAUUUUAUCCUGUCAGUCACCUAUCCAUCAGCAGAAACUGUUUCAUUUUCUUUGCUGUUUAUCUUGUAUGGUCCGUUCCUUGACAAACAUAUUCAUGACUGCUUGAUUGUAGUGGAUAAUAGAUGCUCUAUGCAUGAGCCUUCUUGUUGUCCAAAUUUCUUGGUUAUGAAUACUUUCCCAAUAUAUACUUGAUCUGUUAUCGAUAGGUGGAGAGAUGAAAACGGAGAUGCAGGCCAGUAUUGUUCCUACUGGGGAGGUCAAUGGAUCUUCUGAUAAGGUAUUGGGUGCUGCUGUCGCUUCUGCUGGUGUUUCAGGAAAAUCUCCAGGAUCUGUAGUUUCUCCUGGCACGAGCACAGCAUUGGAACUCAGGAACCCUCCUCUGAAUGCUGCUAAGACAAGUGCAACUAGCAUUCCACAACCUUGUCAAGUUCUGCCUUCUGAAGCCUGGUUUCAGAAUGAGCGGGAGCUGAAACGGGAGAGGAGGAAACAAUCAAAUCGAGAAUCUGCUAGAAGGUCAAGAUUGAGGAAACAGGUAGAGAAAUAUGAAACUGCUGUUAGUUUGAAUCUAAUUGGUCCUAAACUAUUCUUUGUUAUCCUCUUAUCUAGGCUGAGACUGAAGAACUUGCUCAUAAAGUGGAAUCCUUGACUUCUGAAAAUUUGGCACUUAAAUCAGAAAUAAAUCAAUUGACCAAGAAAUCAGAGAAACUAAGGCUGGAAAAUGCAUCAUUACUGGUGUGCCCUUGUAUUCUUUCUGUCAACUUUCACCUCUGAAAUUCUUGACUUUUCCACACAAUUUCAAGUUUUUAUUAAUAUUUGAGGUGGUUCAAUGUACAGGAGAAGCUAAAAAAUUCACAUUUAGGACACACACAAGAGAUUAUUUUGAACAGCAGUAACGAGCAGAGGGCCUCAGCUAUUAGUACAGAGGACCUGCUGUCAGGAGUUAAUAAUUCUGCCUCUGUCGAUAGAAACCCUGGGGAAGAGGGGGAGCUGUAUGAGAGAAGCUCAAACUCGGGUGCCAAGCUGCAUCAACUCUUGGGUGCAAGUCCAAGGGCCGAUGCAGUGGCCGCUAGCUAAUUUUAGAAACUAGUUUGUCUAGAGUCUCUUUUCAUCUUAAAUUUAGAGGCAACCAAGUAGUUUUGGCAUAUUACAAGCCCAAAAUUACUCCUAACAACUAGCAGAGGGAUGGAAUGGCUGAAAAAAAUUGGUAUCCAUCUCUUAUACUUUCAAUCAACUUGUAAGUUAGCUUUCUCAUGGCAGGAGUGAUAUAUUUUAUCAGAACUCUGGGUGCUGGAAUGGUCACUGAAAAAGGUAAUGUAAAUUGAAAAGAAUUAGAGCUUUGAUUUUAGAAAAGAUGUCGAAACUUUAAAUAUGCAACUGUUUGUGCGAUUUUCACUAACGUAUACAUUUAUGAUACGUGUAUGAGAAAGAACAGUACUUGAGAAUAUGAAUGCUUGCUGAUUACCAUUGUAGUUUGGACCUGAGGCUUAUUGAUUCUGGGCAGUUUAGCUGAUUUCGAUUCAAGAUAAUUUAGGAUUGAUUUUAGUUUUUAAGCCGUUUAAUUUAAAUUUUAAAUUAUUGAUGAGAAUCAAUUUCGAAUUUCACAAUCUGAUUUAGGACCUGAAUAAGCCGUGAUAGGUCUGUUUAUGUAAAAUUUCAUUUUAUAAUUUAUAGCGAGUUAAAUCCAUUUUUAUUUCCGUGGAUUACAUAAAUUUACAAGUAGCUCCAUGAAAAGCAGCGAAGGGCAAAGCAAAAAUGAAGCCCAUGACGUAG
RNAcentral lists this unclassified non-coding RNA (4212 nucleotides) under Hevea brasiliensis (rubber tree). Lineage: Eukaryota; Viridiplantae; Streptophyta; Magnoliopsida; Malpighiales; Euphorbiaceae. The record is from RNAcentral.